UAGCAUCCGUUAGUGGGCUACAAUUUAUAGCGUUAUUUUAUAGUGUCUGAAUUGCACCCGAAAUGUUAUGAUGAUGGUUGAUGGCUGAGGUGUCUGUAACAAUUUUCGUGUAGAUUCCUUUUUCCCGGCGGUACUCCUGAAGAGUGGUUGCAUGCUUUGAGUGCUCCAAACGGUGCUGACACCAGCCUGUCUUGAACCAUUCUGUGUGUGUUGUAAAGAUGUUAAACGUGCUCAAGAGCAAAAAGCGAAAAGCUUUCUACCCGCUAUGGCUUCACGAGCGAACGGACGAAAGCUUGGCGCUAAUUGGACAAGUCAUUACACAAGAGGAUCUAUGAUCUAAGCAUCUGGUCUGGCACAAGUCACCACGCCGGUACAGUUUUUGGAGCAUAGAAAAGUACAAUUCUCCCAAAUUAAUACCCCCCUUUAGAACAGAACACCCAUCACAAAACGGAAUGUUGCUGUGACCUAGGCCGGGGAGAGGGUAGGUUGAUAAGAAGCACGUCGAUUGCUUAUCACGAGUGAAAGCAAUGCUCGGUUCAGUCAGUAGUAACCCAUCACCAUGAACAGAUCAGUGGUGUUUCUUUACUUUGCAUUGUUUGCCAUUGUCCCGUUUGCUGCGGGAUUAUGCAAUGUCGGCUUGGGGAAGCGCGUUUUCGGGGACGUGCUGCUCGAAACAUUGAGCUUCAAAAACUCAUCAACCACCGAACCGAAACAGUUAUCACUGGUGAUCAGCUACCAGCCUAAUGCGCAUCUUGGCGAACAGAUAACCUACAGCAAGACGCAGGGAUCUGUUGAGUGUACUCUUGUAAUUCCACAGGCAAAAAACAAGAAAGGACUGUUUCUGACCAUGACAAGCCAAAACAAUGUUACGGAACUGUCGGCAACGUUGGAAAUCUACGGAUUCCGCCAAGGGAAGGCUGUGAGAGUUAAUUGAGCGUCGCGAACUACCUCCAGCACUUAAGAUUUCCAUCCACUGUCAAGUAAUGUGUGAACGUUGUGAAAGUAAAAGAGCCUUUAACAUGCUUAAGAAAUUAAAAAUGGUGAUUCUUUUA
Anopheles gambiae (African malaria mosquito) is the source of this 1052-nucleotide long non-coding RNA. RefSeq lists it as uncharacterized. The transcript is spliced from 2 exons. Lineage: Eukaryota; Metazoa; Arthropoda; Insecta; Diptera; Culicidae. The record is from RefSeq and is a predicted model, not a curated record.